GGGCCAUGGCAGCAGUAGGAAGGGCUGGUGGUAGUGGUGGGGUCUGUGGGUGGGGUUCUCAGUCAGACGACACCAGCCACCUUGCGUGGGCCCCAGUGCUCAGCCUCCUGAGCGCCCAGCACUCCUUGGUCCCUGUGGUUCUUGCCCCAAACUCUCCACCCCUGGCCUUCCUCUUGUCAAAUUCUGGGCCCCAGUGAAGCCAGAUUUAAAGUUAGGUAGUCAGUGUAGUUAGAUAAAUCGGGUCUAAUAUCGAGUGAAAUCUAAAAUGGAGACCAUGCGGAGAAUGACUCAGGGAAAACACAGGACAACUCAUGGAAUGUUAAUGAAGUCCCGAAAAGGCCCUAGGCCAAAGUCCACCUCAAAGAAAUGUUAAUGAACAGCCCCCAGCAAAAAGGUGCUGACUCAGAAGUCCUUCCUGACCAGAUUACUUCUUUGGCCCACCUGUGUCCCACCCCUCGGGCCUUCCCACCUACAUUCCAUCACUGAAAGAACUAUAAAAAGGGGAGACAACAUCCCUUCCACGGAUUCCACCUCUUGGGUCCCCUUCUUCCUCCGGGAGAAGUCUUUUCUGCUGUCC
This 577-nucleotide long non-coding RNA is filed under the name Marmota monax (woodchuck). The record is from RNAcentral. Lineage: Eukaryota; Metazoa; Chordata; Mammalia; Rodentia; Sciuridae.